CCCUUAGAUGUUCUGGGCCGCACGCGCGCUACACUGACGCAUUCACCGAGUUCUUCUGUCCUGCAUCGAGAGGUGUGGGUAAUCUGUUGAACCUGCGUCGUGAUGGGGAUAGAUUAUUGCAAUUAUUAAUCUUCAACGAGGAAUGCCUAGUAAGCGUGAGUCAUCAGCUCGCGUUGAUUACGUCCCUGCCCUUUGUACACACCGCCCGUCGCUCCUACCGAUUGGAUGGUCCGGUGAGGUUUUCGGAUUGGCGCAUUGCAGCGGUUUCCGUCGCGUUGUGCCGAGAAGUUACCCAAACCUUAUCAUCUAGAGGAAGGAGAANUCGUAACA
Molecule: ribosomal RNA, 330 nt
Filed under: uncultured eukaryote
Lineage: Eukaryota
Description: partial 18S ribosomal RNA
Rfam family: Eukaryotic small subunit ribosomal RNA
Source: RNAcentral